This is a long non-coding RNA of Equus caballus (horse), 1673 nucleotides long. RefSeq lists it as uncharacterized. The record is from RefSeq and is a predicted model, not a curated record. NCBI's taxonomy places the organism in Eukaryota, Metazoa, Chordata, Mammalia, Perissodactyla, Equidae.
CCUAAAUUCUCUCAUUCUUAAGAGCUAAAAAGCUAUUGUGUCCGUUUCACAGUUGGUAAAGCUGAGGCUCAGAGAAGUUCAUUGUCUUAUAAAGAAUCUAUUAAGGAACAGAAUUAGGAUUUGAAUCCAAGUCUCUUCAUUCCAUUAUGCCAUUUUCCACUACUUUGGGCUGCAACCUAAUUCUCUGACUACUCAUCUGGUGCGAAUUCAAAACAGUUUGUCUUGGAACAUGCUAUUGGUGCCAUUGUCUGCUUUUCCAAUUGGGCAUUUAAAUUUGUUAGACUUUUAGAGAUGGACAGUUUCCCGAAGGUAAUACAGCAUUGGCAUAUGUGAAGGCUUUGCUUCCAAUGAGUAGAUUAUAACUUGAAGCCUUUUAACGUCAUAUGAACCGGCUGCUUGACCCAUUCUUGUUUUGGAAUACUUUAUUUGCAGUUUCAAGAAGAUGAACUGUUGACUAACAGAGCAAGAAGAAAGAUAAGAGGAGAAGACAGCGAGGAGGAAGACUGAGCAGAGACGACAGGAUCCAAGACCACGCAUGCUGCCCAUGGGACAGAUGUGGAUUCAGCAGAGCCACGGAGUUUCCAGAAGGCCGCUGCGUAACUGCCAACCAAGCAAGGAAUGAAAGGUGGGAAGAGCACCACAACUUCGAGAUCCUUCCUCCGAGUGAACUACUCUAUUCCCAUUGGUUUAAAGACUCUGAGCGAGGCAGUCCCACUGUUGUGAGGACAAGGCUUAAAAACCGCCCUGUACCGAGCAGGUUUUAUGGAAGUGGGGUCAGAGUGAUGAAUGACGACGGGUGCGUCCAUCUCCAGACGCGGCACUUACUGCAAGUCCGUUAAAGAGUCUGCUGCAAGGCCACAGCCCCUAGAACAGAUGCACAAUUCCUGCUCCCAGAGGCCCCGUGUGCAGGGAGAAAGAGGCAGAGGGAGAGGGGUCCCUUCUGGCUCCCCCCAUGGCCAGGUGAGCUCACCCCAACUCUAGCGAAUAGAGACACCGGUUUCAUUCAGUGUAGGUAUGGACUUGUGAAGGGUCAGAGCAGGCCAAAGAUGGACCGGGCUAUCUCUGGAGGGAGUGAGGAGUGUGUCCAAACACAGACCGGAUGACCACUGGGUAGAGAUAACGGAGGGAGGAGUCGCACAUCAGAGAGAUGUUAGACCAGAUGACCUUUACAGUUCCCUUCAAAUUGAGAAUCUACUUAAACUCAGGGAAACUGGGUUUGAUCCCUGGGGGAACACAUGGACUUGUAAGCAUUUGAACUUAUCAUUUUGUUGUGGUUUCUCAUCUGGGAGUACUAGUAUUCCUUGCUUAAUUUAGACGUGACAAGUCAACAGUGUUAAAUAUGGUCAAACUUUACAUAAUUUAUUCUUCCCUUGAAGUGGAGCCAAGACAACCUCAGGGCCUUUGCACUUACUGUUCUCCACUCCUUUCAUUCAGAUUGUGCUCAAAUGUGGCCUUAUCAAAGAGGUCAUCCCUGAUCUCCUCCCCUAUAAAAUGUCACCCCCCCUUGACCUUCUUGUUGUCACUUUCUACACUUUCCCCUCCCUCCACAUGACACAUUAUAUAUUCAUUUGUUCAUUUUUGGGCUCUCCUUGAUGAAAAAUAAACACCAUGGAACAAAGCUUUGUCUGUUUGGUUCAACGUAUUUCAGAUCCUACAACAGCACCUGGCACAUA